AAACUGUGUUCCCUCCGGGACGGAUCCCGAGUAGUGCGGGGCACGUGAAACCCCGUAUGAAUCCGGCAGGACCAUCUGCUAAGGCUAAAUACGACCUGGCGACCGAUAGUGAAACAGUACCGUGAGGGAAAGGUGAAAAGCACCCCGGAAGGGGAGUGAAAUAGAACCUGAAACCGUGUGCUUACAACAAGUCAGAGCCCGAUCUAGGGGUGAUGGCGUGCCUUUUGUAGAAUGAACCGGCGAGUUACGUUUACCAUGCAAGGUUAAGGUGAGAAGCCGGAGCCGCAGCGAAAGCGAGUCUGAAUAGGGCGAUUGAGUAUGGGGACGUAGACCCGAAACCGUGUGAUCUACCCCUGUCCAGGGUGAAGGUGCGGUAACACGCACUGGAGGCCCGAACCCACGCACGUUGAAAAGUGCGGGGAUGAGGUGGGGGUAGCGGAGAAAUUCCAAUCGAACUCGGAGAUAGCUGGUUCUCCCCGAAAUAGCUUUAGGGCUAGCCUCGGUGAAUGGAGUGGUGGAGGUAGAGCACUGAUUGGGUGCGGGGCCCGCAAGGGUUACCAAGCUCAGUCAAACUCCGAAUGCCAUGAACUUCUUGCCGGGAGUCAGACAGUGAGUGCUAAGAUCCAUUGUCAAAAGGGAAACAGCCCAGACCAUCAGCUAAGGUCCCGAAGUGUGUGUUAAGUGGGAAAGGAUGUGGAGUUGCCCAGACAACCA
Molecule: ribosomal RNA, 714 nt
Filed under: Paenibacillus sp. S150
Lineage: Bacteria; Bacillati; Bacillota; Bacilli; Caryophanales; Paenibacillaceae
Description: partial 23S ribosomal RNA
Rfam family: Bacterial large subunit ribosomal RNA
Source: RNAcentral